Molecule: microRNA precursor, 134 nt
Filed under: Myotis lucifugus (little brown bat)
Lineage: Eukaryota; Metazoa; Chordata; Mammalia; Chiroptera; Vespertilionidae
Description: mir-9193 microRNA precursor family
Rfam family: mir-9193 microRNA precursor family
Source: Rfam by way of RNAcentral
CGUGCACUGGUGGGGUCCCUCAGCAUGGCCUGCGCCCUCUCACAAUCCAGGACCCCUCAGGGGAUGUCAGAGGCCCGGUGCAUGGAUUCGGCCCGAUCCCUGCAGGCCAGGCUGAGGGACCCCACCAGUGCACG